RNAcentral lists this ribosomal RNA (292 nucleotides) under uncultured bacterium. RNAcentral's name for it is "partial 16S ribosomal RNA". It matches the Rfam family "Bacterial small subunit ribosomal RNA", at positions 505 to 796 of the family's 1533-position model. The record is from RNAcentral.
GUGCCAGCCGCCGCGGUAAGACGAACCGUGCGAACGUUGUUCGGAAUCACUGGGCUUAAAGGGCGCGUAGGCGGGCGAGCGAGUCCGGGGUGAAAGCUUUCGGCUUAACCGGAAAAGGGCCUCGGAUACCGCUCGCCUGGAGGGAGGUAGGGGUCCGCGGAACUGCUGGUGGAGCGGUGAAAUGCGUUGAUAUCAGCAGGAACGCCGGUGGCGAAAGCGGCGGACUGGACCUCUUCUGACGCUGAGGCGCGAAAGCCAGGGGAGCGAACGGGAUUAGAUACCCCGGUAGUCC